UUGGUUGAUCCUGAGAGUAGUCAUCUGCUUGUCCCAGAGAUCAACCCAUGGAUUUCUAAGUACAUAUCGCGAAUGGUUUAUUAAAUCAGCUAUGGUUCGUCAGAUUAUUUAUACUGCAUAGAUAACUGUAGUAAUUCUACAGCUUAUACAUGCAAUAUUGACCUGAUCUGCAAGGGAAAGGGGUAUAUUUAUUAGAACAGAACCAACCAAGGGGGGCAGUUUCAGCUGUCUCUUUUGAAUUGUGUGAUGACUUCGGAUAAAUUUAAUGAACACAGCUGGACUCGAGUCAGCGACGGAUCUUUUGAAUGUCUGCCCAACCAAUUUGUUGGUAGGUGAUUAGCCUACCAUGAUAAUAAGAACAAUCAGGAUUCGAUUCUGGACAGAGAGUUUGAGAAAUGGCUACCACAUCCAAAGACGGUAGUAGACCUAAAAAUUACCCACUACUAGCACGGGGAGAUGGUGACGAAACAUAUGAACAUGAGACUUAACUAAAGCUCCUUAAUUCGAAUGAGUAAAAUUUAGAUUAUGUACGGCUGAUUAACAGUCAUU
This 549-nucleotide non-coding RNA is filed under the name Trichobilharzia regenti. RNAcentral's name for it is "Eukaryotic small subunit ribosomal RNA". It matches the Rfam family "Eukaryotic small subunit ribosomal RNA", at positions 1 to 556 of the family's 1831-position model. Lineage: Eukaryota; Metazoa; Platyhelminthes; Trematoda; Strigeidida; Schistosomatidae. The record is from Rfam by way of RNAcentral.